CACCCAGAGAUUUGCCACCACUUUUCAAAUCAGCAAUUUCAGAGCAUGGCAGGGACAAAGAUGCUUUUGCUUCAACUUGCCAUAUUUUCAGCUGUUCUUGAAGGUGUCCAAUCAGAGGUCCAGCUGGUGGAGUCCGGAGGGGAUGUGAAAAAGCCUGGGCAGUCCCUCCGCCUCUCCUGUCGGGCCUCCGGCUUCACCUUCAGCAGCUACUACAUGAGCUGGGUGAGACAAGCCCCAGGAAAGGGACUGGAAUGGAUUGCAGGGAUAUACACUGAUGGGAGCCAGCAACAAUAUGCAGACACAGUGAAGGGGCGCUUCACCAUCUCCAGGGACAACCCCUCCAACAUGCUGUACGUGCAGAUGAACAACCUGAAAGCCGAGGACACGGCCGUGUAUUACUGUGCAAGGGACACAGUGGGAGGAAGUGAAUGUGCAGCCAGGCAAAAACCCUUCCAUGCUUCAGAGAACAUUCCAGGCUAA
Non-coding RNA from Varanus komodoensis (Komodo dragon), 480 nucleotides. Lineage: Eukaryota; Metazoa; Chordata; Lepidosauria; Squamata; Varanidae. The record is from the annotation of a RefSeq genome assembly.